This 305-nucleotide ribosomal RNA is filed under the name uncultured bacterium. RNAcentral describes it as "bacterial SSU rRNA". It matches the Rfam family "Bacterial small subunit ribosomal RNA", at positions 333 to 655 of the family's 1533-position model. The record is from RNAcentral.
GUAGCCCUACGGGGCGCAGCAGUGGGGAAUAUUGGUCAAUGGGGGAAACCCUGAACCAGCAACGCCGCGUGAGGGAAGACGGUUUUCGGAUUGUAAACCUCUGUCCUCUGUGAAGAUGAUGACGGUAGCAGAGGAGGAAGCUCCGGCUAACUACGUGCCAGCGGCCGCGGUAAUACGUAGGGAGCGAGCGUUGUCCGGAUUUACUGGGUGUAAAGGGUGCGUAGGCGGCUUGGCAAGUCAGUAGUGAAAUCCAUGGGCUUAACCCAUGAACUGCUAUUGAACCUGUCGAGCUUGAGUGAAGUAGG